GGCGCGCCUAACACAUGCAAGUCGAACGAGAGGCCGUAGCAAUACGGUCGUACAGUGGCGAACGGGUGAGGAAGACGUGGGUAACCUACCCUCGAGUGGGGAAUAACCCGCCGAAAGGCGGGCUAAUACCGCGUACGCUUCUGUUCCUUCGGGGACGGAAGGAAAGCUGUGCCGUGGGCAUGGCGCUCAAGGAUGGGCUCACGCCCUAUCAGCUUGUUGGUAGGGUAACGGCCUACCAAGGCAACGACGGGUAGCUGGUCUGAGAGGACGAUCAGCCACACUGGCACUGCGACACGGGCCAGACUCCUACGGGAGGCAGCAGUGAGGAAUAUUGCGCAAUGGGCGAAAGCCUGACGCAGCGACGCCGCGUGGGGGAUGAAGGUCUUCGGAUUGUAAACCCCUUUCGGGAGGGAAGAUGGAACGGGCAACCGUUCGGACGGUACCUCCAGAAGCAGCCACGGCUAACUUCGUGCCAGCAGCCGCGGUAAUACGAAGGUGGCAAGCGUUGUUCGGAUUUACUGGGCGUAAAGGGAGCGUAGGCGGUUGGGUAAGCCCUUUGGGAAAGCUCCCGGCUUAACCGGGAAAGGUCGAAGGGGACUGCCUGGCUAGAGGGUGGGAGAGGAGCGCGGAAUUCCCGGUGUAGCGGUGAAAUGCGUAGAGAUCGGGAGGAAGGCCGGUGGCGAAGGCGGCGCUCUGGAACAUUUCUGACGCU
Molecule: ribosomal RNA, 712 nt
Filed under: uncultured Nitrospirota bacterium
Lineage: Bacteria; Pseudomonadati; Nitrospirota
Description: bacterial SSU rRNA
Rfam family: Bacterial small subunit ribosomal RNA
Source: RNAcentral